RNAcentral lists this ribosomal RNA (248 nucleotides) under Enterobacter hormaechei subsp. xiangfangensis. RNAcentral's name for it is "partial 23S ribosomal RNA". It matches the Rfam family "Bacterial large subunit ribosomal RNA", at positions 1 to 252 of the family's 2925-position model. Lineage: Bacteria; Pseudomonadati; Pseudomonadota; Gammaproteobacteria; Enterobacterales; Enterobacteriaceae. The record is from RNAcentral.
UUAAGCGACUAAGCGUACACGGUGGAUGCCCUGGCAGUCAGAGGCGAUGAAGGACGUGCUAAUCUGCGAAAAGCGCCGGCGAGGUGAUAUGAACCCUUGACCCGGCGAUGUCCGAAUGGGGAAACCCAGUGCAAUCCGUUGCACUAUCGUUAGCUGAAUACAUAGGUUAACGAGGCGAACCGGGGGAACUGAAACAUCUAAGUACCCCGAGGAAAAGAAAUCAACCGAGAUUCCCCCAGUAGCGGCGA